UCUUUUUUUGGUUUUUUUUAUAAGGAAGAGAGAGGGUUUCAGAUAUUGAAUCACACAAGGAAGUUCG
RNAcentral lists this small RNA (67 nucleotides) under Arabidopsis thaliana (thale cress). Its description in RNAcentral is "ATSL077030". Lineage: Eukaryota; Viridiplantae; Streptophyta; Magnoliopsida; Brassicales; Brassicaceae. The record is from RNAcentral.